UACGAAGGGGGCUAGCGUUGUUCGGAAUUACUGGGCGUAAAGCGCACGUAGGCGGGUCGUUAAGUCAGGGGUGAAAUCCCGGAGCUCAACUCCAGAACUGCCUUUGAUACUGGCGAUCUUGAGACCGGGAGAGGUGAGUGGAACUGCUAGUGUAGAGGUGAAAUUCGUAGAUAUUAGCAAGAACACCAGUGGCGAAGGCGGCUCACUGGCCCGGUACUGACGCUGAGGUACGAAAGCGUGGGGAGCAAACAGG
This 253-nucleotide ribosomal RNA is filed under the name uncultured bacterium. Its description in RNAcentral is "partial 16S ribosomal RNA". It matches the Rfam family "Bacterial small subunit ribosomal RNA", at positions 524 to 776 of the family's 1533-position model. The record is from RNAcentral.